CCCAUCUUACUUGUAUUCAUUCAAUUAUUACAAAGUAUUAAUAUAAUUAUAACUUAAUAGUUAUACUUAAUUCCAAAAAAAAAUUUAAAAAUAUACUAAACCAGGCCCGACCCGACCCAAUUCAACCCGUAACCCGUAUGGUUCAAUUUAACCCGAUCAAACCCGGCCCGCUACAAAAUCGGUACUGCUCUACUCGGACCGGCCGAAAAAAUCAUGGCCCGGACCGGACCGGUUGAACCGUCUGUCACCCUUGCAUUAAAUUCAUCGUUAUAUAAAAUGACACUUUUCGUCAUUAACAAUUAAAAUAAAUAAUAUAUUUAAAGAAACAAUACAAUAUAACAUAAUAGAUAAAAACCAUCCAAAUAAGCUGUUACGAUCCCAUACAAAGUAGUGCAUCUAAAAUAAAGAAAGACGAAAUUGAGAAAAGUAAAGAAAAGAAAAAAUCAAAAGCUUAUUCCCGAGAAAUCUCUUUACAACUUAGUUUACAUUUCAAAGUGUGGGCCGUCUUGGACAACUUACAACAACAAAUUCAGUAUAAUCUCACGAAUAAUGUCCGAAGAAGAUAAUGUAUACGCAAAUUUUAUCUCUACCUUGAGAAGCAGACGAAGCACACGCUCGAUCUUUAGAUAAAUUUUAAGGGAGAAGACCAACGUAGGGUAUUGGAAGAAUAUUGGACUCAAGUAUUGACGAAGAAGACGAUGAAGAAUUGUCUUUAGAAAUGACAGUACCAACUGCUUCCACAAAUACAGUCACAAACUCUAUUGCAAUUUUCACCAUCUCUAUACAUAUCUCUAACCUUUGAAUCGCCAUAAUAAUAAUAAUAAUAAUAAUAAUAAUAAUAAUAAUAAUAAUAACAGUAAAGUAAUUAGUAAUGAUAAAUCUCUCAGCUUCUAUUUUCAAGUCUCCGCGUAUUUAUAAUUUUAUAUUUAUGAAUGUGUAAUAAAGAAA
RNAcentral lists this long non-coding RNA (948 nucleotides) under Nicotiana benthamiana. RNAcentral's name for it is "long non-coding RNA (NBEN_LNC003091)". Lineage: Eukaryota; Viridiplantae; Streptophyta; Magnoliopsida; Solanales; Solanaceae. The record is from RNAcentral.